GAUUGUUGACAUGAAGUCCGUAAAGGAGCGCGAUGUUGCGGGGAUGGUGGCAUUUGAGCUGGCGCUGCAGUACAGCUUCAUCCGGCAAGAUCGCUCCUACCACUUUGUGCAGCUGCUGACGGCGCUGUGCUCCUUCGUGUUCUUCUCACAGCUGACGGCUCUCAAUGUGCUUCUCGUUCUUCCGCCGCUGCUGCCGUCAGUGGAGCCGCAUGUGGAAUUUCUGCGCGCCUACAGUCAUCCACUCUUGGCGGUACUUUCUCUGGUGGCGCUGUUGCUGAUCCGGGCCAGCAAGAAGCGCUUCAUCAUCGAGCCCGGAGAGCACACGAUGGAACGGCUCAACCGCGACGUUCUGGAACCGUGCCUCGGCAUGAAGUUCGAUGCGCGCACAGGAAUGCUGUUCUCCGACUGCCGCGCUGGCAGUCUGCGCGGGCGAGAGAACUACUAUUCCCUUCGCUACCUCGAUGACCCACCGCAGUCCCUAGCUUCCGCGAGAGAGACGGAAGCUUGAGGACGGAGGAAGAAAGUUGGAGCUCGUGUUUGAGGGCAGCCAAUACGGAACGAAGCGAAGGAAAAACAAAACAGCGUGCCAUGCGCGUCUGCUGAGUAACGAGAACCGAAACAAAGCACACCAACGUGCUGAUGCGAUGACAUGAAGUCCAUAGGCAAGCAUCCAGUCAAACAGCGCCGAAGCUCGUUUUUUUUUUCUUCGGUUAGUUGAGGGCAACCGCCGACUGUGCCGCUGCACAGAGGACGCACUGAAAGAGGGACACGUGCUUUACGGCGGCGCGCAUCAGCCGCGUGUGUAUGUCUCUGUCUGUAGGCUAAUGCGCAUGGGCUCGACGAUGGGCGGUGAAUAGGGGUGGGGGUGGGGAGGCGCGAGAAAGUUCUGAAGAGGCGUCACGAUCGCGUUGCAGCUGGCUUCUCUUUCUGUCUGUCGUCUCUUUCGCCGCUCACUACCUGUCAUCCUCCCCUCUGGUGCCAACGGAUUCACCGCUGCUGCGACUCAACAUCAAAUGCCAGGGAGGCUUGCUUUCGUACUUCGCAUGUACGGUUGUUCGCCCCUUUCCCUCGUAGCCUUCCAACCCCCUCCCCCGACUCUUCUGUCUUUAUCUGCCUCGUGGCGUUUUACUAUGUCGAUUUUUUUUUUCGUGGCACAUCUCCGCACUCCCUCGUCUCAG
RNAcentral lists this unclassified non-coding RNA (1178 nucleotides) under Leishmania donovani. RNAcentral describes it as "gene:LdHU3.30.4410(CDS-product:hypothetical_prote in_conserved)". Lineage: Eukaryota; Euglenozoa; Kinetoplastea; Trypanosomatida; Trypanosomatidae. The record is from RNAcentral.